GCAGUCGACGGCAGCGGGGGCUUCGGCCUGCCGGCGAGUGGCGAACGGGUGAGUAAUGCAUCGGAACGUGCCCAUGUCGUGGGGGAUAACUACGCGAAAGCGUAGCUAAUACCGCAUACGCCCUGAGGGGGAAAGCGGGGGAUUCUUCGGAACCUCGCGCGAUUGGAGCGGCCGAUGUCAGAUUAGCUAGUUGGUGAGGUAAAGGCUCACCAAGGCGACGAUCUGUAGCGGGUCUGAGAGGAUGAUCCGCCACACUGGGACUGAGACACGGCCCAGACUCCUACGGGAGGCAGCAGUGGGGAAUUUUGGACAAUGGGCGCAAGCCUGAUCCAGCCAUGCCGCGUGAGUGAAGAAGGCCUUCGGGUUGUAAAGCUCUUUCGGCCGGGAAGAAAUCGGCGACUCUAACAUACUCGCUGGAUGACGGUACCGGACUAAGAAGCACCGGCUAACUACGUGCCAGCAGCCGCGGUAAUACGUAGGGUGCGAGCGUUAAUCGGAAUUACUGGGCGUAAAGCGUGCGCAGGCGGUUUUGUAAGACAGAUGUGAAAUCCCCGGGCUUAACCUGGGAACUGCGUUUGUGACUGCNAGGCUAGAGUACGGCAGAGGGGGGUGGAAUUCCUGGUGUAGCAGUGAAAUGCGUAGAUAUCAGGAGGAACACCGAUGGCGAAGGCAGCCCCCUGGGCCUGUACUGACGCUCAUGCACGAAAACGUGGGGAGCAAACAGGAUUAGAUACCC
Molecule: ribosomal RNA, 736 nt
Filed under: uncultured bacterium
Lineage: Bacteria
Description: bacterial SSU rRNA
Rfam family: Bacterial small subunit ribosomal RNA
Source: RNAcentral